This 392-nucleotide ribosomal RNA is filed under the name uncultured bacterium. RNAcentral describes it as "partial 16S ribosomal RNA". It matches the Rfam family "Bacterial small subunit ribosomal RNA", at positions 523 to 918 of the family's 1533-position model. The record is from RNAcentral.
AUACGUAGGUGGCAAGCGUUAUCCGGAUUUAUUGGGUUUAAAGGGUGCGCAGGCGGCCAUUUAAGUCAGCGGUUAAAUCGUGGGGCUCAACCCCAUUCUGCCGUUGAUACUGGGUGGCUUGAUUGCGGUCGAGGUUGGCGGAAUUCGUUGUGUAGCGGUGAAAUGCAUAGAUAUGACGAAGAACACCGAUUGCGUAGGCAGCUGACCAGACCGCAAAUGACGCUCAUGCACGAAAGUGCGGGGGUCGAACAGGAUUAGAUACCCUGGUAGUCCGCACAGUAAACGAUGAAUACUUGUUUUCGGCGAUAUAAUGUCGGAGGCAAAGCGAAAGCGAUAAGUAUUCCACCUGGGGAGUACGCCGGCAACGGUGAAACUUAAAGGAAUUGACGGGG